UACAGGGGUGCAACGUUGCUCGGAAUCAUUGGGACGUAAGCGCACGUAGGCGGUUCGUUAUGUCGGAUGUGAAGCCUUGGCUUAACCGAGGAAGUGCAUCCGAAACUGGCGAGCUAGAGUACGAAAGAGGAUCGCGGAAUUCCCGGUGUAGAGGUGAAAUUCGUAGAUAUCGGGAGGAACACCGGUGGCGAAGGCGGCGAUCUGGGUCGAUACUGACGCUGAGGUGCGAAAGCGUGGGAGCAACAGG
This 247-nucleotide ribosomal RNA is filed under the name uncultured bacterium. Its description in RNAcentral is "partial 16S ribosomal RNA". It matches the Rfam family "Bacterial small subunit ribosomal RNA", at positions 524 to 776 of the family's 1533-position model. The record is from RNAcentral.